GAUGAAGAACGCAGCGAAAUGCGAUAAGUAAUGUGAAUUGCAGAAUUCAGUGAAUCAUCGAAUCUUUGAACGCGCAUUGCGCCCCCUGGUAUUCCGGGGGGCAUGCCUGUCCGAGCGUCAUUACAACCCUCAAGCUCAGCUUGGUGUUGGGCCCCGCCGCCCCGGCGGGCCCUAAAGUCAGUGGCGGUGCCGUCCGGCUCCGAGCGUAGUAAUUCUUCUCGCUCUGGAGGUCCGGUCGUGUGCUCGCCAGCAACCCCCAAUUUUUUUCAGGUUGACCUCGGAUCAGGUAGGGAUACCCGCUGAACUUAAGCAUAUCAAUAAGCGGAGGA
RNAcentral lists this unclassified non-coding RNA (329 nucleotides) under soil metagenome. RNAcentral's name for it is "partial contains 5.8S ribosomal RNA, internal transcribed spacer 2, and large subunit ribosomal RNA". The stretch from base 1 to 120 matches the Rfam family "5.8S ribosomal RNA", at positions 35 to 154 of the family's 154-position model. The record is from RNAcentral.